AACGCACCUUGCGCUCCUUGGUAUUCCGAGGAGCAUGCCUGUUUGAGUGUCAUUAAAUUCUCAACUAUACAAGUUUUUUUAUAAACAUGUAUAGCUUGGAUCUUGGGAUUUGCGGGCUUUCACAAGUCGGCUAUCCUUAAAUGCAUUAGCAGAGCUUUUGCCGCUAAACUCUAGUGUGAUAAUUAUCUACGCUAUUGUGAGGCAGCAUGAAUAGAGCUAUGCUUCUAAUCGUCUUCACAGACAAUACUUGACAAUCUGACCUCAAAUCAGGUAGGAUUACCCGCUGAACUUAA
RNAcentral lists this unclassified non-coding RNA (293 nucleotides) under uncultured Agaricales. RNAcentral's name for it is "sequence contains 5.8S rRNA gene, ITS2, 28S rRNA gene". The stretch from base 1 to 52 matches the Rfam family "5.8S ribosomal RNA", at positions 103 to 154 of the family's 154-position model. The record is from RNAcentral. Lineage: Eukaryota; Fungi; Basidiomycota; Agaricomycetes; Agaricales.